UAGGGAAUCUUCCGCAAUGGGCGAAAGCUUGACGGAGCAACGCCGCGUGAGUGAUGAAGGUCUUCGGAUCGUAAAACUCUGUUAUUAGGGAAGAACAAAUGUGUAAGUAACUAUGCACGUCUUGACGGUACCUAAUCAGAAAGCCACGGCUAACUACGUGCCAGCAGCCGCGGUAAUACGUAGGUGGCAAGCGUUAUCCGGUAUUAUUGGGCGUAAAGCGCGCGUAGGCGGUUUUUUAAGUCUGGUGUGAAAGCCCACGGCUCCACCGUGGAGGGUCAUUGGAAACUGGAGAACUUGAGUGCAGAAGAGGAAAGUGGAAUUCCAUGUGUAGCGGUGAAAUGCGCAGAGAUAUGGAGGAACACCAGUGGCGAAGGCGACUUUCUCGUCUGUAACUGACGCUGUUGUGCGAGAGCGUGGGGAUCAAACAGG
This 429-nucleotide ribosomal RNA is filed under the name Actinomycetes bacterium. RNAcentral's name for it is "Actinobacteria bacterium partial 16S ribosomal RNA". It matches the Rfam family "Bacterial small subunit ribosomal RNA", at positions 355 to 776 of the family's 1533-position model. The record is from RNAcentral. Lineage: Bacteria; Bacillati; Actinomycetota; Actinomycetes.